AACGCACCUUGCACUCCUUGGUAUUCCGAGGAGUAUGCCUGUUUGAGUGUCAUGAAAUUCUCAACCUCAUGGUUUUAUUACCGUGAGGCUUGGAUUUGGAAGCCUGCUGGCGUAAGUCGGCUCUUCUUAAAUGCAUUAGCUGCUUGUCCGUGAGUUGGCUCAGAGUGUGAUAAGUAUCUACACUUGGUGGCUGCUUGCUUGGAUGUGGCUUCUAAUCGUCUUCGGACAACUUUUCUUAAGAUCUGACCUCAAAUCAGGUAGGACUACCCGCUGAACUUAAGC
Molecule: unclassified non-coding RNA, 282 nt
Filed under: uncultured fungus
Lineage: Eukaryota; Fungi
Description: sequence contains ITS2
Rfam family: 5.8S ribosomal RNA (bases 1-52)
Source: RNAcentral